Molecule: non-coding RNA, 72 nt
Organism: Xenopus laevis (African clawed frog)
Lineage: Eukaryota; Metazoa; Chordata; Amphibia; Anura; Pipidae
Source: Rfam
GUGGUUACAGCUCAGAAGUAUAUCAUUUGACUGCAGAUCAAGAAGUUUCUGGUUCAAAUCCAGGUGUCCCCU